GGCGUAGGGCGCAAGCGUUGUCCGGAUUUAUUGGGCGUAAAGAGCUCGUAGGCGGCUUGUUGCGUCGUCCGUGAAAACCCGUGGCUCAACUGCGGGCUUGCGGACGAUACGGGCAGGCUGGAGUUCGGUAGGGGAGACUGGAAUUCCUGGUGUAGCGGUGAAAUGCGCAGAUAUCAGGAGGAACACCGGUGGCGAAGGCGGGUCUCUGGGCAGUAACUGACGCUGAGGAGCGAAAGCGUGGGGAGCGAACAGG
This 253-nucleotide ribosomal RNA is filed under the name uncultured bacterium. RNAcentral describes it as "partial 16S ribosomal RNA". It matches the Rfam family "Bacterial small subunit ribosomal RNA", at positions 524 to 776 of the family's 1533-position model. The record is from RNAcentral.